Molecule: long non-coding RNA, 860 nt
Organism: Gasterosteus aculeatus aculeatus (three-spined stickleback)
Lineage: Eukaryota; Metazoa; Chordata; Actinopteri; Perciformes; Gasterosteidae
Source: Ensembl
AGGGGUUGGGUGUCUUGCUCAGGGACACUUGAACAUGGGACAUGGAGCAGCCGGGUCUCGAACCACCAACCUUGUGGUUCCCGGCGCACCCUCUCUACCCCCACGUCACAAUACAGAAAGGCAGGUUGAUUUUGUUGUUGUGAAGAAGCUCGGUUUGCAUGAUUAUAAAUUAAUGAUUUGAAUAAUAAAUCAUCUUUGGAGGAAAUGUCCCUCCUGAGCUACUGUAGGUUCAGGCAGGUCUUGGUACCUCCUACUUCCUGGUUCAUCCAUUAUACAGGGUAUAAAAGCUGCACAUGAUGAAGCUGCUGUCACCACGCUUGUCCCUUUCUGUGUUGGAGUCUGGCUGAAGAAUCCAAUGAGCUGGGGUGUUUGAGGCUGUCUGCAGAGUAGCAUCCCAGAUGACUGCUAUGGCUGGUUCCACACCUGCAGAAUCAAGGUGAACAUUGGAAAACUAACACUUCCAAAUGCUUGCCAGAGUCACUAGAUAUCUUCACUGCAAGAUGAAGACAACCUUUAGGUUAAAGGGCAACAUCUGACUUCAUUUCAUGGAUCAAGAUUUUGGCAAUUGCUUAAAUUCUACCACUGCAUUUCAGGGACAAGUAGGAGGCCAAACAGAAACCUGGUGGCGACCGUGGUGCCAUGAAUACAAAAAGGACACCACUGCAAUUGCUGAUUAUGGGCGGUCGACCUCAACUGACCGAACUGUCAAGGUCAAAGGAGGCUCAUGGAUCUUGGAGAAGAUGGGCGAGGCCUGGGUUCUUAAUAAAGGAGUGGUCAAGCGGUUUCAGCCUCCUGUGACAGUGGAAAUUACCAGCCGUCUUGAGUAAACGUACGGUCCAGAGAAGGCAACCGGGUCCUGC